UCCUUAUUAUUUUACAAGGUUGAGCAGAU
Molecule: non-coding RNA, 29 nt
Filed under: Rattus norvegicus (Norway rat)
Lineage: Eukaryota; Metazoa; Chordata; Mammalia; Rodentia; Muridae
Source: RNAcentral